RNAcentral lists this long non-coding RNA (203 nucleotides) under Lathyrus oleraceus (garden pea). RNAcentral describes it as "Pisum sativum (pea) long non-coding RNA (PSAT_LNC023298)". The record is from RNAcentral. Lineage: Eukaryota; Viridiplantae; Streptophyta; Magnoliopsida; Fabales; Fabaceae.
AAUAUUAUCACCCUAUUCAAAGGGUUGGAAGAGUCUUGUUUGGAGUUGUGUGGGGUUGAAUAAUUAUGUUUGUAAUAUUUCAGAAGAUGGCAGAAAAAUAAAAAAAUAGAAAAAGAAAAUAGAAAAGAAAAAAAAGAAAUGAAAAAAUAGAAGGAUAAGAGGAAGAAAAAAAAGAAAUUAUGUUUGUAAUAUUUCAAUACAUG